UUCAUUUUCCGAUCACCGUUUUUUGGAACAUAUGGCUGCAUCACCACCCAGAUUGAUCCCUGAAAGGGGUCAAGUUCUGAAGAGGAUCCUAAAAAUGGUGGUUGCUUGUUUCAUGUGUGCUCCUGAGUCUUCUUCCGAUUCUCAUAAUCACAAAACCUCUUCUUCUUCAGUCUUUCCGGCGUCACCUCCUUCCCGUCUCUGAACUCAUUCCUCGCUUUUCGUGUUAACCUUUGACAACUUGUCAAAAAUGGAUUCUGGGUCUGUUGGGUUCUGUUGGUUUAUUCAAGAACAUUGCUCUUCACCUCCUUAACGUUAAUUUUGUGUGCGUCUUAUGUUGUAACGUUGUAGCGACAACUCAAUUUUGUUUAGUUUCAUGUAGAUUCAGCCCCUCCCCGCUUUGAUCCCGGGCCUGCAAAAUUUGAAGAAAAAAAUUUACUUUUGAAUGUGAAAGUCUUUCUUAUCGGUCGGAAAUGCUGAUUUGAUCCGAAGAUUUUAAAUGUACUUUAUAUUUGUGUUAUGGGAGUAUUCGAGAUCGCGUCUCGACAUCUCCACAACAGCUCCCAACACAGCAUAAUUAUAAAUAUAACUUAAUUACGUAAUUAAUAAACACAACAUGAUAAUUAUUCAUAAAUCAUGAUUAAGACAAC
RNAcentral lists this long non-coding RNA (647 nucleotides) under Phaseolus vulgaris (common bean). RNAcentral's name for it is "long non-coding RNA (PVUL_LNC004584)". Lineage: Eukaryota; Viridiplantae; Streptophyta; Magnoliopsida; Fabales; Fabaceae. The record is from RNAcentral.